GGGUUGUGAGGUUAAGCGACUAAGCGUACACGGUGGAUGCCCUGGCAGUCAGAGGCGAUGAAGGGCGUGCUAAUCUGCGAUAAGCGCCGGUAAGGUGAUAUGAACCGUUAUAACCGGCGAUACCCGAAUGGGGAAACCCAGUGUGAUUCGUCACACUAUCAUUAACUGAAUCCAUAGGUUAAUGAGGCGAACCGGGGGAACUGAAACAUCUAAGUACCCCGAGGAAAAGAAAUCAACCGAGAUUCCCCCAGUAGCGGCGAGCGUACGGGGAGGAGCGCAGAGCCUGAAUCAGCAUGUGUGUUAGUGGAAGCGUCUGGAAGGUGCGCGAUACAGGGUGACAGCCCCGUACACAAAAGCGCAUGUGCUGUGAGCUCGAUGAGUAGGGCGGGACACGUGGUAUCCUGUCUGAAUAUGGGGGGACCAUCCUCCAAGGCUAAAUACUCCUGACUGACCGAUAGUGAACCAGUACCGUGAGGGAAAGGCGAAAAGAACCCCGGCGAGGGGAGUGAAAAAGAACCUGAAACCGUGUACGUACAAGCAGUGGGAGCACAGGUUUACCUGUGUGACUGCGUACCUUUGUAUAAUGGGUCAGCGACUUAUAUUCUGUAGCAAGGUUAACCGUAUAGGGGAGCCGUAGGGAAACCGAGUCUUAACCGGGCGUUAAGUUGCAGGGUAUAGACCCGAAACCCGGUGAUCUAGCCAUGGGCAGGUUGAAGGUUGGGUAACACUAACUGGAGGACCGAACCGACUAAUGUUGAAAAAUUAGCGGAUGACCUGUGGCUGGGGGUGAAAGGCCAAUCAAACCGGGAGAUAGCUGGUUCUCCCCGAAAGCUAUUUAGGUAGCGCCUCGUGAAUUCAUCUCCGGGGGUAGAGCACUGUUUCGGCUAGGGGCCAUCCCGGCUUACCAACCCGAUGCAAACUGCGAAUACCGGAGAAUGUUAUCACGGGAGACACACGGCGGGUGCUAACGUCCGUCGUGAAGAGGGAAACAACCCAGACCGCCAGCUAAGGUCCCAAAGUCAUGGUUAAGUGGGAAACGAUGUGGGAAGGCCCAGACAGCCAGGAUGUUGGCUUAGAAGCAGCCAUCAUUUAAAGAAAGCGUAAUAGCUCACUGGUCGAGUCGGCCUGCGCGGAAGAUGUAACGGGGCUAAACCAUGCACCGAAGCUGCGGCAGCGAACGUAUCACCCAAGACAACUUUACGGAGUUGACGAUUGACGGAGCGAAGCGACGUCAAAGCGUUCAUUAAAGUCGAGUUGGCUUAGGGAUACGUUCGUUGGGUAGGGGAGCGUUCUGUAAGCCUGUGAAGGUGUGUCGUGAGGCAUGCUGGAGGUAUCAGAAGUGCGAAUGCUGACAUAAGUAACGAUAAAGCGGGUGAAAAGCCCGCUCGCCGGAAGACCAAGGGUUCCUGUCCAACGUUAAUCGGGGCAGGGUGAGUCGACCCCUAAGGCGAGGCCGAAAGGCGUAGUCGAUGGGAAACGGGUUAAUAUUCCCGUACUUGGUGUUACUGCGAAGGGGGGACGGAGAAGGCUAUGUUGGCCGGGCGACGGUUGUCCCGGUUUAAGCGUGUAGGUGUGUGUUCCAGGUAAAUCCGGUUCACUUUAACACUGAGGCGUGACGACGAGGCACUACGGUGCUGAAGCAACAAAUGCCCUGCUUCCAGGAGGCAAAAUGGUGCCGUAACUUCGGGAGAAGGCACGCUGACACGUAGGUGAAGUGAUUUACUCAUGGAGCUGAAGUCAGUCGAAGAUACCAGCUGGCUGCAACUGUUUAUUAAAAACACAGCACUGUGCAAACACGAAAGUGGACGUAUACGGUGUGACGCCUGCCCGGUGCCGGAAGGUUAAUUGAUGGGGUCAGCGCAAGCGAAGCUCCUGAUCGAAGCCCCGGUAAACGGCGGCCGUAACUAUAACGGUCCUAAGGUAGCGAAAUUCCUUGUCGGGUAAGUUCCGACCUGCACGAAUGGCGUAAUGAUGGCCAGGCUGUCUCCACCCGAGACUCAGUGAAAUUGAACUCGCUGUGAAGAUGCAGUGUACCCGCGGCAAGACGGAAAGACCCCGUGAACCUUUACUAUAGCUUGACACUGAACAUUGAGCCUUGAUGUGUAGGAUAGGUGGGAGGCUUUGAAGUGUGGACGCCAGUCUGCAUGGAGCCGACCUUGAAAUACCACCCUUUAAUGUUUGAUGUUCUAACGUGGACCCGUAAUCCGGGUUGCGGACAGUGUCUGGUGGGUAGUUUGACUGGGGCGGUCUCCUCCUAAAGAGUAACGGAGGAGCACGAAGGUUGGCUAAUCCUGGUCGGACAUCAGGAGGUUAGUGCAAUGGCAUAAGCCAGCUUGACUGCGAGCGUGACGGCGCGAGCAGGUGCGAAAGCAGGUCAUAGUGAUCCGGUGGUUCUGAAUGGAAGGGCCAUCGCUCAACGGAUAAAAGGUACUCCGGGGAUAACAGGCUGAUACCGCCCAAGAGUUCAUAUCGACGGCGGUGUUUGGCACCUCGAUGUCGGCUCAUCACAUCCUGGGGCUGAAGUAGGUCCCAAGGGUAUGGCUGUUCGCCAUUUAAAGUGGUACGCGAGCUGGGUUUAGAACGUCGUGAGACAGUUCGGUCCCCUAUCUGCCGUGGGCGCUGGAGAACUGAGGGGGGCUGCUCCUAGUACGAGAGGACCGGAGUGGACGCAUCACUGGUGUUCGGGUUGUCAUGCCAAUGGCACUGCCCGGUAGCUAAAUGCGGAAGAGAUAAGUGCUGAAAGCAUCUAAGCACGAAACUUGCCCCGAGAUGAGUUCUCCCUGAGACUUAGAGUCUCCUGAAGGAACGUUGAAGACGACGACGUUGAUAGGCCGGGUGUGUAAGCGCAGCGAUGCGUUGAGCUAACCGGUACUAAUGAACCGUGAGGCUUAACCUUACAACGCCGAAG
This 2908-nucleotide ribosomal RNA is filed under the name Salmonella enterica subsp. enterica serovar 1,4,[5],12:i:-. RNAcentral's name for it is "23S ribosomal RNA". It matches the Rfam family "Bacterial large subunit ribosomal RNA". Lineage: Bacteria; Pseudomonadati; Pseudomonadota; Gammaproteobacteria; Enterobacterales; Enterobacteriaceae. The record is from RNAcentral.